Molecule: ribosomal RNA, 938 nt
Filed under: marine metagenome
Description: bacterial SSU rRNA
Rfam family: Bacterial small subunit ribosomal RNA
Source: RNAcentral
AGAGUUUGAUCCUGGCUCAGGAUUAACGCUGGUGGCGUGCUUAACACAUGCAAGUCGAACGAAUCUUGAAAAUGAAGCUUCGGUGGAUUUUUCUUCUGAUUAGUGGCAAACGGGUGAGUAAUAAAUAAGUAACCUGCCUUAAAGCUUGGGAUAACUUUUCGAAAGGGAAGCUAAUACCAAAUACACUUUUUAAUUCAUAAGAAUUUUAAAGGAAAGAUUUAUCACUUUAAGAGGGGCUUAUUUCUGAUUAGCUUGUUGGUGAGGUAAAAGCUUACCAAGGCUACGAUCAGUAGCUGGUCUGAGAGGACGAACAGCCACACUGGAACUGAGACACGGUCCAGACUCCUACGGGAGGCAGCAGUGAGGAAUAUUGCGCAAUGGGCGAAAGCCUGACGCAGCGACGCCACGUGAGCGAUGAAGUCUCUAGGGAUGUAAAGCUCUGUCAAGAGGAACGAUUAUGACGGUACCUCUAAAGGAAGCCCCGGCUAACUACGUGCCAGCAGCCGCGGUAAUACGUAGGGGGCAAGCGUUAUCCGGAUUUAUUGGGCAUAAAGAGCGCGUAGGCGGUACUUUAAGUCAGAUGUUAAAAGCUUCAGCUCAACUGAAGUUCGCAUUUGAAACUGAGGUACUAGAGUUUAGUAGAGGAAAGCGGAACUCACGGUGUAGCGGUGAAAUGCGUAGAUAUCGUGAGGAACACCAGUUGCGAAGGCGGCUUUCUGGACUAAUACUGACGCUGAGGUGCGAAAGCGUGGGGAGCGAACGGGAUUAGAUACCCCGGUAGUCCACGCCGUAAACGUUGUUCACUAGGUGUUGGAGGUAUCGACCCCUUCAGUGCCACAGAUAAUUCGUUAAGUGAACCGCCUGGGAAGUACGACCGCAAGGUUAAAACUCAAAGGAAUUGACGGGGGCCCGCACAAGCAGUGGAGCAUGUGGUUUAA